Molecule: ribosomal RNA, 576 nt
Filed under: Sporothrix schenckii
Lineage: Eukaryota; Fungi; Ascomycota; Sordariomycetes; Ophiostomatales; Ophiostomataceae
Description: partial large subunit ribosomal RNA
Rfam family: Eukaryotic large subunit ribosomal RNA
Source: RNAcentral
AGGAAAAGGAACCAACAGGGAUUGCCCCAGUAACGGCGAGUGAAGCGGCAACAGCUCAAAUUUGAAAUCUGGCCCCCCGGCCCGAGUUGUAAUUUGGAGAGGAUGCUUCUGGCGCGGCGCCGUCCGAGUUCCUUGGAACAGGACGCCACAGAGGGUGAGAGCCCCGUACGGACGGACGCCUAGCCUCUACGAAGCUCCUUCGACGAGUCGAGUAGUUUGGGAAUGCUGCUCAAAAUGGGAGGUAAAUUUCUUCUAAAGCUAAAUACCGGCCAGAGACCGAUAGCGCACAAGUAGAGUGAUCGAAAGAUGAAAAGCACUUUGAAAAGAGGGUUAAAAAGUACGUGAAAUUGUUGAAAGGGAAGCGCCUGUGACCAGACUUGCGCCCCGCGGACCACCCGGCGUUCUCGCCGGUGCACUCUGCGGUGCGCAGGCCAGCAUCGGUUCUCCCAGGGGGACAAAGGCCGCGGGAACGUAGCUCCUUCGGGAGUGUUAUAGCCCGCGGCGGCAUGCCCCUGGGGGGACCGAGGACCGCGCUUCGGCAAGGAUGCUGGCGUAAUGGUCACCAGCGACCCGUCU